CUAUGCGCCUUGCCAGCCGCUCAGGUGUGCCAGCCGCGCGGUAAUACGGAGGAUGCGAGCGUUAUCCGGAUUUAUUGGUUUAAAGGGUGCGUAGGUGGUUAAUUAAGUCAGCGGUGAAAGUUUGUGGCUCAACCAUAAAAUUGCCGUUGAAACUGGUUGACUUGAGUAUAUUUGAGGUAGGCGGAAUGCGUGGUGUAGCGGUGAAAAUGCAUAGAUAUCACGCAGAACUCCGAUUGCGAAGGCAGCUUACUAAACUAUAACUGACACUGAAGCACGAAAGCGUGGGGAUCAAACAGG
Molecule: ribosomal RNA, 297 nt
Filed under: uncultured bacterium
Lineage: Bacteria
Description: partial 16S ribosomal RNA
Rfam family: Bacterial small subunit ribosomal RNA
Source: RNAcentral